GGUUAAGCGACUAAGCGUACACGGUGGAUGCCCUGGCAGUCAGAGGCGAUGAAGGACGUGCUAAUCUGCGAAAAGCGACGGCGAGGUGAUAUGAACCUUUGACCCGUCGAUGUCCGAAUGGGGAAACCCAGUGUGUUUCGACACACUAUCGUUAACUGAAUACAUAGGUUAACGAGGCGAACCGGGGGAACUGAAACAUCUAAGUACCCCGAGGAAAAGAAAUCAACCGAGAUUCCCCCAGUAGCGGCGAGCGAACGGGGAGCAGCCCGGAGUCUGAAUCAGCUUGUGUGUUAGUGGAACGGUCUGGAAAGUCCGACGGUACAGGGUGAUAGUCCCGUACACGAAAGCACACUUGCUGUGAACUCGAAGAGUAGGGCGGGACACGUGGUAUCCUGUCUGAAUAUGGGGGGACCAUCCUCCAAGGCUAAAUACUCCUGACUGACCGAUAGUGAACCAGUACCGUGAGGGAAAGGCGAAAAGAACCCCGGCGAGGGGAGUGAAAAAGAACCUGAAACCGUGUACGUACAAGCAGUGGGAGCACCUUCGGGUGUGACUGCGUACCUUUUGUAUAAUGGGUCAGCGACUUAUAUUCUGUAGCAAGGUUAACCGUAUAGGGGAGCCGAAGGGAAACCGAGUCUUAACUGGGCGUUAAGUUGCAGGGUAUAGACCCGAAACCCGGUGAUCUAGCCAUGGGCAGGUUGAAGGUUGGGUAACACUAACUGGAGGACCGAACCGACUAAUGUUGAAAAAUUAGCGGAUGACCUGUGGCUGGGGGUGAAAGGCCAAUCAAACCGGGAGAUAGCUGGUUCUCCCCGAAAGCUAUUUAGGUAGCGCCUCGUGAACUCAUCUUCGGGGGUAGAGCACUGUUUCGGCUAGGGGGCCAUCCCGGCUUACCAACCCGAUGCAAACUACGAAUACCGAAGAAUGUUAUCACGGGAGACACACGGCGGGUGCUAACGUCCGUCGUGAAGAGGGAAACAACCCAGACCGCCAGCUAAGGUCCCAAAGUCAUGGUUAAGUGGGAAACGAUGUGGGAAGGCACAGACAGCCAGGAUGUUGGCUUAGAAGCAGCCAUCAUUUAAAGAAAGCGUAAUAGCUCACUGGUCGAGUCGGCCUGCGCGGAAGAUGUAACGGGGCUAAACCAUGCACCGAAGCUGCGGCAGCGACACUAUGUGUUGUUGGGUAGGGGAGCGUUCUGUAAGCCGUUGAAGGUGUGCUGUGAGGCAUGCUGGAGGUAUCAGAAGUGCGAAUGCUGACAUAAGUAACGAUAAAGCGGGUGAAAAGCCCGCUCGCCGGAAGACCAAGGGUUCCUGUCCAACGUUAAUCGGGGCAGGGUGAGUCGACCCCUAAGGCGAGGCCGAAAGGCGUAGUCGAUGGGAAACAGGUUAAUAUUCCUGUACUUGGUGUUACUGCGAAGGGGGGACGGAGAAGGCUAUGUCAGCCGGGCGACGGUUGUCCCGGUUUAAGCAUGUAGGCGGAGGUUCCAGGUAAAUCCGGUACCUUUUAACGCUGAGGUGUGAUGACGAGGCACUACGGUGCUGAAGUGAUAAAUGCCCUGCUUCCAGGAAAAGCCUCUAAGCAUCAGGUAACACGAAAUCGUACCCCAAACCGACACAGGUGGUCAGGUAGAGAAUACCAAGGCGCUUGAGAGAACUCGGGUGAAGGAACUAGGCAAAAUGGUGCCGUAACUUCGGGAGAAGGCACGCUGAUAUGUAGGUGAAGCCCCUGCGGGCGGAGCUGAAAUCAGUCGAAGAUACCAGCUGGCUGCAACUGUUUAUUAAAAACACAGCACUGUGCAAACACGAAAGUGGACGUAUACGGUGUGACGCCUGCCCGGUGCCGGAAGGUUAAUUGAUGGGGUUAGCGGCAACGCGAAGCUCUUGAUCGAAGCCCCGGUAAACGGCGGCCGUAACUAUAACGGUCCUAAGGUAGCGAAAUUCCUUGUCGGGUAAGUUCCGACCUGCACGAAUGGCGUAAUGAUGGCCAGGCUGUCUCCACCCGAGACUCAGUGAAAUUGAACUCGCUGUGAAGAUGCAGUGUACCCGCGGCAAGACGGAAAGACCCCGUGAACCUUUACUAUAGCUUGACACUGAACACUGGUCCUUGAUGUGUAGGAUAGGUGGGAGGCUUUGAAGCGUGGACGCCAGUCUGCGUGGAGCCGUCCUUGAAAUACCACCCUUUAAUGGCUGGUGUUCUAACGUAGACCCGUGAUCCGGGUUGCGGACAGUGUCUGGUGGGUAGUUUGACUGGGGCGGUCUCCUCCCAAAGAGUAACGGAGGAGCACGAAGGUUGGCUAAUCCUGGUCGGACAUCAGGAGGUUAGUGCAAUGGCAUAAGCCAGCUUGACUGCGAGCGUGACGGCGCGAGCAGGUGCGAAAGCAGGUCAUAGUGAUCCGGUGGUUCUGAAUGGAAGGGCCAUCGCUCAACGGAUAAAAGGUACUCCGGGGAUAACAGGCUGAUACCGCCCAAGAGUUCAUAUCGACGGCGGUGUUUGGCACCUCGAUGUCGGCUCAUCACAUCCUGGGGCUGAAGUAGGUCCCAAGGGUAUGGCUGUUCGCCAUUUAAAGUGGUACGCGAGCUGGGUUUAGAACGUCGUGAGACAGUUCGGUCCCUAUCUGCCGUGGGCGCUGGAGAAUUGAGGGGGGCUGCUCCUAGUACGAGAGGACCGGAGUGGACGCAUCACUGGUGUUCGGGUUGUCAUGCCAAUGGCACUGCCCGGUAGCUAAAUGCGGAAGAGAUAAGUGCUGAAAGCAUCUAAGCACGAAACUUGCCCCGAGAUGAGUUCUCCCUGAGACUUUAAGUCUCCUGAAGGAACGUUGAAGACGACGACGUUGAUAGGUCGGGUGUGUAAGCGCAGCGAUGCGUUGAGCUAACCGAUACUAAUGAACCGUGAGGCUUAACCUU
Molecule: ribosomal RNA, 2903 nt
Filed under: Enterobacter hormaechei
Lineage: Bacteria; Pseudomonadati; Pseudomonadota; Gammaproteobacteria; Enterobacterales; Enterobacteriaceae
Description: 23S ribosomal RNA
Rfam family: Bacterial large subunit ribosomal RNA
Source: RNAcentral